AACUUUCACCAMCGGAUCUCUUGGCUCUCCCAUCGAUGAAGAACGCAGCGAACUGCGAUACGUAAUGUGAAUUGCAGAAUUCAGUGAAUCAUCGAAUCUUUGAACGCAUCUUGMGCCGCUCGGGUUUCCGAGGGGCACGUCUGUUUGAGUGUCACGUU
This 158-nucleotide ribosomal RNA is filed under the name uncultured Basidiomycota. RNAcentral's name for it is "5.8S ribosomal RNA". It matches the Rfam family "5.8S ribosomal RNA". Rfam says of the family: 5.8S ribosomal RNA (5.8S rRNA) is a component of the large subunit of the eukaryotic ribosome. The record is from RNAcentral. Lineage: Eukaryota; Fungi; Basidiomycota.